This 251-nucleotide ribosomal RNA is filed under the name uncultured Oscillospiraceae bacterium. Its description in RNAcentral is "partial 16S ribosomal RNA". It matches the Rfam family "Bacterial small subunit ribosomal RNA", at positions 90 to 339 of the family's 1533-position model. The record is from RNAcentral. Lineage: Bacteria; Bacillati; Bacillota; Clostridia; Eubacteriales; Oscillospiraceae.
GGUUAGUGGCGGACUGGUGAGUAACACGUAAGCAACCUGCCUGUUAGAGGGGAAUAACAGUGAGAAAUCACUGCUAAAACCGCAUAUGCCGUGAACAUCGCAUGAUGAAAACGGGAAAAGAGCAAUCUGCUAAUAGAUGGGCUUGCGUCUGAUUAGCUAGUUGGUGUGGUAAAGGCAUACCAAGGCAACGAUCAGUAGCCGGACUGAGAGGUUGAACGGCCACAUUGGGACUGAGAUACGGCCCAGACUCC